GCCUACGGGGGGCAGCAGUCGAGAAUCAUUCACAAUGGGGGAAACCCUGAUGGUGCGACGCCGCGUGGGGGAAUGAAGGUCUUCGGAUUGUAAACCCCUGUCAUGUGGGAGCAAAUUAAAAAGAUAGUACCACAAGAGGAAGAGACGGCUAACUCUGUGCCAGCAGCCGCGGUAAUACAGAGGUCUCAAGCGUUGUUCGGAAUCACUGGGCGUAAAGCGUGCGUAGGCUGUUUCGUAAGUCGUGUGUGAAAGGCGCGAGCUCAACCCGCGGACGGCACAUGAUACUGCGAGACUAGAGUAAUGGG
Molecule: ribosomal RNA, 305 nt
Filed under: uncultured bacterium
Lineage: Bacteria
Description: bacterial SSU rRNA
Rfam family: Bacterial small subunit ribosomal RNA
Source: RNAcentral